CCUACGGUGGGCAGCAGUGGGGAAUAUUGGGCAAUGGGCGAAAGCCUGACCCAGCAACGCCGCGUGAAGGAAGAAGGCUUUCGGGUUGUAAACUUCUUUUGACAGGGAAGAGCAGAAGACGGUACCUGUCGAAUAAGCCACGGCUAACUACGUGCCAGCAGCCGCGGUAAUACGUAGGUGGCAAGCGUUGUCCGGAUUUACUGGGUGUAAAGGGCGUGUAGCCGGGCUGACAAGUCAGAUGUGAAAUCCAGGGGCUCAACCCCCGAACUGCAUUUGAAACUGUUGGUCUUGAGUAUCGGAGAGGCAGGCGGAAUUCCUAGUGUAGCGGUGAAAUGCGUAGAUAUUAGGAGGAACACCAGUGGCGAAGGCGGUCUGCUGGACGACAACUGACGGUGAGGCGCGAAAGUGUGGGGAGCAAACAGGAUUAGAUACCCUUGUAGUC
RNAcentral lists this ribosomal RNA (442 nucleotides) under uncultured bacterium. RNAcentral's name for it is "partial 16S ribosomal RNA". It matches the Rfam family "Bacterial small subunit ribosomal RNA", at positions 338 to 795 of the family's 1533-position model. The record is from RNAcentral.